UCAGGGGAAGCCGAAAACCUGUCUUUAGAGUAGGUA
Cloacibacterium normanense is the source of this 36-nucleotide regulatory RNA element. It matches the Rfam family "DUF805b RNA". Rfam says of the family: Bacteroidetes, Chlorobi (1 example), Proteobacteria. Lineage (Flavobacteria) The record is from Rfam. NCBI's taxonomy places the organism in Bacteria, Pseudomonadati, Bacteroidota, Flavobacteriia, Flavobacteriales, Weeksellaceae.